Non-coding RNA from Cucurbita pepo subsp. pepo (vegetable marrow), 3068 nucleotides. The record is from RefSeq and is a predicted model, not a curated record. NCBI's taxonomy places the organism in Eukaryota, Viridiplantae, Streptophyta, Magnoliopsida, Cucurbitales, Cucurbitaceae.
UUUCAAUUCCUUACCAUGUCGUUAUUCCUUGUUUUUUAUUGGGUUAUGAACUAAAACCUUGUUUUGGGCCAGGGGUAUUUCGUUGGCCCAUUUCCACAUUCCUUAGGCCCAGUCCAUUAUUUUUUAAAUUUAAUUUAAAUUAUUUAAUUAUGUUAUUUCUUAGCUUCUUCUUCACGCGUAACCUUCUUUUAACGUAAUUUUCUUACUUGGCUAAACUUCCAAGUUUCUCUUGAUAGAUACUGGGCGGGCAGUGAACGCUGGUAUACUAAACAAUAUCCAGAUGUUUCUACAUUCGGUUAGGCUUUUGGAUUUUCCAAGUUUAGGUUUGAUUUUCUUGGAUUGCGUCGAAUUGGGCUUUUUGAUGAGCAGAGUAACAACAUCUACAUUUUUCUGAAUUCGUUUGGGGUUUUAUUUUUUUUUUUCUUUCCAAUUUUAGGUUUGAUUUUCUUAGAAUGUGCAUCGAAUUGAAACAAUCCGAAGUCGAGUUCGUACUCUCCAUUCGUCGGUCUAGACUUCGAUUUCCCUCCCUUCUGUUCAGAAAAUUGUCUUCGGAAAUCAAAUUAGGUUUUGGUUUUUCCUUCUCUGUUUGCAAAAUCAUCCUGUUCUUCUGAGGUGGGUUCGAUAUUUAUUUUUCAAUAAUCGUCUUGGAAUAUUGUCCUGUUUUCUUCGGUUUUCGCUUUUCCUUCUCUUUCAGGUGGCUUCGGUUUUUAUUUUUCAAUCAUAAUUUAUGGAAAUUUAUACGUUGAGGUCAUGCAUUAGAUAGAAUUAACAGAAGUAUAGUUGUGUAGAAGCCAUUUUCUUGAUUUGAUUUUAUGGAUGACUGGUUGCUCUUUCUUCCAAAAUUAUGGAUCUGCGAGUACGGUUCAACUGUUCAUCGUUCUUGACAAGAGUUAUGUAGUUGUCCUGAAAUAAUGGUUGCCUCGAUAGGCUUUCAAAUAAUGGUUGUCUUGGAAUGAUAAUCGUUGCUAAAUUUCGAUUGCCAUGGUACAAUAAUAGUCUUGACAUAACUGCUUGUGUUAUGUAGUUGUCCCGAGAUAAUGGUUGCCUUGAUAUGCUAUUUUGAAUUUAAUUGUCUGGAAAUGAAAAUUGUUGUGAACUAUUGGUGGUUGCAGACAAUAAUUGUCGAGACAUAAUGAUAAUCAUUUGAAAUAGUUGCCUUUUUUAGAAUGAUAAUCAUUUGAAAUAUCGGUUGCCUUAUUAUUGUCCAGACAUAAUGGUUGCCUUCAUAGGCUUCCAGAUAACUCGAAAUAUUAGUUGUCUUAGAAUGACGAUGGUUGCAAAAUUUUGAUUGACUUGGUUCAAUAAUAGUCCCAACAUAACGGUUCUCUCUAAGGUUGAAUCUUAUAACUUGGCCUAGAGUUAGAGUGGUUGUUGAGUGAACCAGCCAGCCUAUUUACCUUGUGUUUGAGUUAAAGAAUAAAUAGGAAAAAGGCACGCAUGGACAACAUGUGUGACUGAUAAAGUUGGUUUUUGCAUGAGCUAUCGAUUGAGAACCUUGCGUGAGGUCUGAUGAAGCUGCAAAGUCGGGAAUAAAAAAUUAUAACGAAGUUUGAAUUUCUCUUAGGACUUGUUGGGAUCAUUUCAAGAUUAUUAUCAAGAAUGGAAGGAAUAUUGUAAACUGGUAUGAUUUUAUAUUUUAUUCCUAGACUUCUCCUGUGAUACCCUAAUUUAAACAUUUCGGAUUUCUUGUGGUGGUGAAUGUAUCCCAAUGAUUAUUGUUAUUUUAUGUAAUUUUUUACUUGUACUUGUAGGAAUUAAGUGUAAGUUUAAUGAAUAAUUCUAUAUGCAGUUUUGGAUGUUAAAUAGACUUGACUCUUUCCCUUUCAUACGAGUGGGGGCCUCCCAGUUCUUAAAUCUGUUAGAAACAUACUUUAUAUGUCUUGAUAGAUUAUGGUUGCUUGGAAUAUUGGUUCGUUUUGGUACAAUAAUUGUCCAGACAUAAUGGAUGCGAAAUGUCGGACAUAAUGGAUGCGAAAUGUCGGUUGCUUUAGUACAAUAGUUGUACAUGUCUUUGAUAGAAUCCCAAUUAUUUGUUAUAAUAUAAAUUGGACACGGGCAGUGUGCAUCAAUUCUCCGACUGUUUUUGGGUUCUUGAGUUGCAAAUGUUUUUUCAAUUGUCUCUUUCCCUUUCUUACAAGUAGGGAGGGGCCUCCCAGUUUUUGAUCUCUCAGGAACAUGCUUAAGCAGGUGCGUAUAGAAAACCAUUUGACUUUGGUAGGAGGCUGGUGCUUUGAUAUUCAAAACCCAUUGGAUGUUUUUAAUUAAAAGAUUAGGUUCGUUCUGUUUAUUAUAUUUGCUCCAUGUGAGGCUCCUAUCUUUUCAGGUAUUUUUUCCUUUGCCAUGUUAUUGCUUCGACCAAUACCGAUACGAAGAGGGUUAUUUCUAUAGGACGACUUGCAGGUUUGUUCAGUAGCUCUUUUCUUUCAUGAGGGAAAGCUAUUUGAAGAAUCUUAGGAUUCAAGAGAGUGGGCGUAAAGGAAUUUUUUAAGCUCUUAGAUGUUUUAAGAAUACUGUAAUAUGUCAACUCUCCAUCUUUUCUUGUGUUCAGUUGAUUUUGAUUAAUUUGAUUCAUUUAGUAAGCUGGUUAAUCAACAUGUCCGACAACUAAAUUUGGGGUUCUAUUUGUCCAGGUGUUCCUGUCUCUACCUUGUAGCAGAAGGGGAAAUAGUAGCUUGGAUUUUUUUUUUUUUAAAUGCUCUUUUUAACAUGAUUUUUCUUUUACGGUUCGAUUAGUCAAGUUAGCGAAGGAGCUGGAAAUGUUCGAUGAAUACAAGUUUGAUCUCAAAUAGUUUGAACGUUCUAGAGUUUGAAGAUUAGCGGGAGAUGAUCUUCAACUUUCUAGUUUCAAAAUAAUGGUGGCUUGAAAGAUUGGAGUCUUAUGACUUGGCUGAGUGAACAUGCACGCAUGGAAAACGUGUAUGGCCAAAAAAGUUUGGUUUCAAAAUCAUGAUGCCACUUGAAAACUACGAUCGUGAUAGUUUCUCUAGGUAUUCUAGUUGGCUUGAAAUAUUGGUUUUCUUCGUUUAGACACAAUGAUUGUCAUUAUAGAAUCCAAAAUAAUGGUUGUC